This is a long non-coding RNA of Diprion similis, 235 nucleotides long. RefSeq lists it as uncharacterized. The record is from RefSeq and is a predicted model, not a curated record. NCBI's taxonomy places the organism in Eukaryota, Metazoa, Arthropoda, Insecta, Hymenoptera, Diprionidae. The transcript is spliced from 3 exons.
UCCAACAUUUCCUGUGUCAUUAUCUAAGUAUGGCACUGACAGAAGAUCUGGGACUAGGAUUGCAUGCCGAUUUCAAGCGAGUUGGAAAUUUCUUCGGUUUACCUAUUUAUUGAUUUAUUUUUCAUUCAACUUUAUUAAAGAUUAUGUGUUUAUGCUAUUCGCUGUAAAGAGCAGCAAUCAUUUCUAUCCUUACCAUUCUGCCCUUACGGGGGCUAGUCUCGGCAAAAAUUGUGAA